RNAcentral lists this transfer RNA (72 nucleotides) under Marmota monax (woodchuck). RNAcentral describes it as "tRNA.Ala". It matches the Rfam family "tRNA". From Rfam's summary of the family: Transfer RNA (tRNA) molecules are approximately 80 nucleotides in length. Their secondary structure includes four short double-helical elements and three loops (D, anti-codon, and T loops). Further hydrogen bonds mediate the characteristic L-shaped molecular structure. tRNAs have two regions of fundamental functional importance: the anti-codon, which is responsible for specific mRNA codon recognition, and the 3' end, to which the tRNAs corresponding amino acid is attached (by aminoacyl-tRNA synthetases). tRNAs cope with the degeneracy of the genetic code in two manners: having more than one tRNA (with a specific anti-codon) for a particular amino acid; and 'wobble' base-pairing, i.e. permitting non-standard base-pairing at the 3rd anti-codon position. Lineage: Eukaryota; Metazoa; Chordata; Mammalia; Rodentia; Sciuridae. The record is from RNAcentral.
AGGUUGUAGCUCAGAGGUAGAGCACUUGCCUUGCAAGCAUGAGGCAUUGGGUUUGAUCCUCAGCACCACCUA